Molecule: long non-coding RNA, 258 nt
Filed under: Nicotiana benthamiana
Lineage: Eukaryota; Viridiplantae; Streptophyta; Magnoliopsida; Solanales; Solanaceae
Description: long non-coding RNA (NBEN_LNC010907)
Source: RNAcentral
UCGCAUGCAAUAAUAUCAAACAAUAACUACCAUAACUAACAACCAUUAGGGGGACAUAAGCUAAAACACAAAUCAUCUAUGGGUAUCCCUGCUGACCCACACCCAACCCCGGUUGAGGCGUACGAAGAACUCUAAGAGCCCCUAACCUACAACCCUGAUUCUAGACCUCCAGACUCUCCUAAGCCCACACCCAACCCCGGAAGAGGCGUACGAAGAACUCUAGGAGCCCCUAACCUACCACCCUGAUUCUAGACCUCC